CCUGCGGAGUCUCACAAACAGUAGUCAAAAACGUGUAACUUAUCAUAAUCACCUUCAAUUUCAUCCUGGUUUUCUUUUGCUGUAACUUCAAAAGGCUUUUUCCAGAUUAGUGUCUGGAUGGACAAACAAUGUGCUGGAUUGAUGAGCAGCACGUUUCUCCUUCAAUGAACUGAACCUUUGCUUUCAUUCUUAAGUGGAAUACGGACUGCAGCCCAUCACACCAGUUUAACAUGAAGAUGAGAAGGACGAGGUGAAGCUGAGCUCUGGCCUGAAGAGGUAUUACGUCAAUGUUUGUUAGCAGAGAGAAUGACAUUCUUCUUUAUAUUGUGGCAACCCACGAAGCAGCACCCUGGACAGCGCCUCAAGAGAUCAGCACCAAGGUCUGGGGCACCGACGAGCCAGAGGUCAGUGGCGGAGUAACAGGGACUCCUCGAGGCAACUAGCAGACCGGUUUACAACCUGAUGACAGCGGGGACGGCCAAUCACACGAGCAACAGCAGAGCCAAUGGAGGAGCUGAUCGUCGUCCCUCCUGAGCGUAAAUACUCCGUCUGGAUCGGCGGCUCCUUCUCCACCUUCCAGCAGAUGUGGAUCAGCAAGCAGGAGGACGAGGCCGCUCACAGCAUCGUGCACCGCGAGUGCUUCUAAGGCGCUUUUCAGACACUUGAUAUUAAUU
Molecule: non-coding RNA, 674 nt
Organism: Gasterosteus aculeatus aculeatus (three-spined stickleback)
Lineage: Eukaryota; Metazoa; Chordata; Actinopteri; Perciformes; Gasterosteidae
Source: RefSeq, a predicted model, not a curated record